This 233-nucleotide ribosomal RNA is filed under the name uncultured bacterium. Its description in RNAcentral is "partial 16S ribosomal RNA". It matches the Rfam family "Bacterial small subunit ribosomal RNA", at positions 103 to 334 of the family's 1533-position model. The record is from RNAcentral.
CGGGUGAGUAACGCGUGAGGAACCUGCCUCAAGGAGGGGGACAACAGUUGGAAACGGCUGCUAAUACCGCAUAAGCCCACGGCUCGGCAUCGAGCAGAGGGAAAAGGAGCAAUCCGCUUUGAGAUGGCCUCGCGUCCGAUUAGCUAGUUGGUGAGGUAAUGGCCCACCAAGGCAACGAUCGGUAGCCGGACUGAGAGGUUGAACGGCCACAUUGGGACUGAGACACGGCCCAG